Molecule: ribosomal RNA, 741 nt
Filed under: uncultured archaeon
Lineage: Archaea
Description: bacterial SSU rRNA
Rfam family: Archaeal small subunit ribosomal RNA
Source: RNAcentral
UUCCGGUUGAUCCUGCCGGAGGACAUUGCUAUUGGGAUUCGAUUUAGCCAUGCUAGUCGAACGAGUUCACACUCGUGGCACAUAGCUCAGUAACACGUGGCCAAGCUACCCUUCAGUCAGCAAUACCCUCGGGAAACUGAGGCUAAUAGCCGAUACGAAACAGACGCUGGAAUGCACUGUACUCCAAAGACACCGCUGAAGGAUGCGGCUGCGGCCGAUUAGGUAGACGGUGGGGUAACGGCCCACCGUGCCAGUAAUCGGUACGGGUGGUGAGAGUCAGAGCCCGGAGACGGAGUCUGAGACAAGAUUCCGGGCCCUACGGGGCGCAGCAGGCGCGAAACCUUUACACUGCACGAAAGUGCGAUAGGGGAAUCCCAAGUGCGAGGGCAUAUUAGCCCUCGCUUUUGUUGACUCUAAGGCGGUCAACGAAUAAGAGCUGGGCAAGACCGGUGCCAGCCGCCGCGGUAAUACCGGCAGCUCAAGUGAUGUCCCAUAUUAUUGGGCCUAAAGCGUCCGUAGCUGGCCGACCAAGUCUAUCGGGAAAUCCACCUGCCCAACAGGUGAGCGUCCGGUAGAAACUGGCCGGCUUGGAACCGGAAGGCUCAGAGAGUACGUCCGGGGUAGGAGUGAAAUCCCGUAAUCCCGGACGGACUACCGAUGGCGAAAGCACUCUGAGAAGACGGCUUCGACAGUGAGGGACGAAAGCUCGGGUCUCAAACCGGAUUAGAUACCCGGGUAGUC